RNAcentral lists this ribosomal RNA (466 nucleotides) under Streptococcus sp. canine oral taxon 279. RNAcentral's name for it is "bacterial SSU rRNA". It matches the Rfam family "Bacterial small subunit ribosomal RNA", at positions 9 to 464 of the family's 1533-position model. Lineage: Bacteria; Bacillati; Bacillota; Bacilli; Lactobacillales; Streptococcaceae. The record is from RNAcentral.
GAGUUUGAUCAUGGCUCAGGACGAACGCUGGCGGCGUGCCUAAUACAUGCAAGUAGAACGCUGAAGGAAUAGCUUGCUAUUCUGGAAGAGUUGCGAACGGGUGAGUAACGCGUAGGUAACCUACCUCAUAGCGGGGGAUAACUAUUGGAAACGAUAGCUAAUACCGCAUAAGAAUACUUAUUGCAUGAUAAGUAUUUAAAAGGAACAACAGUUUCACUGUGAGAUGGACCUGCGUUGUAUUAGCUAGUUGGUAAGGUAACGGCUUACCAAGGCGACGAUACAUAGCCGACCUGAGAGGGUGAUCGGCCACACUGGGACUGAGACACGGCCCAGACUCCUACGGGAGGCAGCAGUAGGGAAUCUUCGGCAAUGGGGGCAACCCUGACCGAGCAACGCCGCGUGAGUGAAGAAGGUUUUCGGAUCGUAAAGCUCUGUUGUCAGCCAAGAAUGUAUGUGAGAGUGGAAA